Molecule: ribosomal RNA, 254 nt
Filed under: uncultured bacterium
Lineage: Bacteria
Description: partial 16S ribosomal RNA
Rfam family: Bacterial small subunit ribosomal RNA
Source: RNAcentral
UACGAAGGGGGCUAGCGUUGCUCGGAAUCGACUGGGCGUAAAGCGCACGUAGGCGGAUUGCUAAGUCAGGGGUGAAAUCCUGGAGCUCAACUCCAGAACUGCCUUUGAUACUGGCGACCUUGAGUCCGGGAGAGGUGAGUGGAACUGCGAGUGUAGAGGUGAAAUUCGUAGAUAUUCGCAAGAACACCAGUGGCGAAAGCGGCUCACUGGCCCGGUACUGACGCUGAGGUGCGAAAGCGUGGGGAGCAAACAGG